RNAcentral lists this ribosomal RNA (120 nucleotides) under uncultured bacterium. Its description in RNAcentral is "partial 16S ribosomal RNA". It matches the Rfam family "Bacterial small subunit ribosomal RNA", at positions 796 to 913 of the family's 1533-position model. The record is from RNAcentral.
CACACUGUAAACGAUGGAUACUAGGUGUAGGAAAUGAUUUCAUUAUCUGUGCCGAAAGCAAACGCAAUAAGUAUCCCACCUGGGGAGUACGACCGCAAGGUUGAAACUCAAAGGAAUUGA